CCUUGUUACACUUUUCCUUUUGCAGGGAAUGUUUAUUCCCCACUGCCGGCCUCUGGGUUCUUUAUAAACUGAGGAAAAGCACCAGAGCUGGGAGUCUGUAUGCAGGAGAUACACAGCGCUCUGUGACGUGCCAAGUCUUUGGGAUCUCUACGCUGUGGGAGGUGUAUAAGGUGUCCUCCUUGGUAUAAACAGAUCUGUAACGCUGCAGCCUGGGUGUUGGCAGAAGUAGGGUGCUGUGCCCUGGGAAGAGGGGAAUUUUUAUUCCCCACUGCCGGCCCCUGGGUUCUUUAUAAACAGGGGAAGAGCACCAGAGCUGGGAGUCUGUAUGCAGGAGAGACACAACGUCCUGUGACGUGCCAAGUCUUUGGGAUCUCUACGCUCUGGGGGUGUAUAAGGUGUCCUCUUGGUAUAACCAGAUCUGUAACGUUGCAGCCUGGGUGUUGGCAGAAGUAGGGUGCUGUGCCUGGGAAGAAG
Long non-coding RNA from Pseudophryne corroboree (corroboree frog), 474 nucleotides. RefSeq lists it as uncharacterized. The transcript is spliced from 4 exons. The record is from RefSeq and is a predicted model, not a curated record. Lineage: Eukaryota; Metazoa; Chordata; Amphibia; Anura; Myobatrachidae.